AACGAACGCUGGCGGCGUGCUUAACACAUGCAAGUCGAACGGACCGGCCCUGCUUAUGUGGGGUGCUCGGGUUGCGAACGGGUGAGUAACCCGUCUGUACCCUGCCCUUGACUUUGGGAUAACUUCAUGAAACUGGGGCUCAUACCGGGUAGGAGCUCCCGCUGAAUGGUGGGGGUUCGAUAGUUUCGGUGGUUGGGGAUGGAAUCGCGUCUCAUCAGCUUGUUGGUGGGGUAGUGUCUAAGCAAGGCCUUGAACGGUAGCCGGCCUGAGAGGAUGACAUGCCACAUUGGGUUUGAGAUACGGCACAGACUCCAACGGGAGGCAGCAGUGGGGAAUAUUGCACUAGGGGCGGAAGCCUAAUGCAGCAACGCCACGUGCGGGAUGACGGCCAGCGGGUUGUAUUCCGCAGCCGCCUGUGUCGAAGCGUUAGUGACGGUAAUGAGUGAAGAAGCACCGGCUAACUUCGUG
Molecule: ribosomal RNA, 468 nt
Filed under: uncultured bacterium
Lineage: Bacteria
Description: partial 16S ribosomal RNA
Rfam family: Bacterial small subunit ribosomal RNA
Source: RNAcentral